AUGAACGCUGGCGGCGUGCCUAACACAUGCAAGUCGAGCGAUUUACUUCGGUAAAGAGCGGCGGACGGGUGAGUAACGCGUGGGUAACCUGCCCUGUACACACGGAUAACAUACCGAAAGGUAUGCUAAUACGAGAUAAUAUGCUUUUAUCGCAUGGUAGAAGUAUCAAAGCUUUUGCGGUACAGGAUGGACCCGCGUCUGAUUAGCUAGUUGGUGAGGUAACGGCUCACCAAGGCGACGAUCAGUAGCCGACCUGAGAGGGUGAUCGGCCACAUUGGAACUGAGACACGGUCCAAACUCCUACGGGAGGCAGCAGUGGGGAAUAUUGCACAAUGGGCGAAAGCCUGAUGCAGCAACGCCGCGUGAGCGAUGAAGGCCUUCGGGUCGUAAAGCUCUGUCCUCAAGGAAGAUAAUGACGGUACUUGAGGAGGAAGCCCCGGCUAACUACGUG
RNAcentral lists this ribosomal RNA (451 nucleotides) under uncultured bacterium. RNAcentral describes it as "partial 16S ribosomal RNA". It matches the Rfam family "Bacterial small subunit ribosomal RNA", at positions 29 to 507 of the family's 1533-position model. The record is from RNAcentral.